AAAUUGAAGAGUUUGAUCAUGGCUCAGAUUGAACGCUGGCGGCAGGCCUAACACAUGCAAGUCGAACGGUAACAGGAAGCAGCUUGCUGCUUUGCUGACGAGUGGCGGACGGGUGAGUAAUGUCUGGGAAACUGCCUGAUGGAGGGGGAUAACUACUGGAAACGGUAGCUAAUACCGCAUAACGUCGCAAGACCAAAGAGGGGGACCUUCGGGCCUCUUGCCAUCGGAUGUGCCCAGAUGGGAUUAGCUUGUUGGUGGGGUAACGGCUCACCAAGGCGACGAUCCCUAGCUGGUCUGAGAGGAUGACCAGCCACACUGGAACUGAGACACGGUCCAGACUCCUACGGGAGGCAGCAGUGGGGAAUAUUGCACAAUGGGCGCAAGCCUGAUGCAGCCAUGCCGCGUGUAUGAAGAAGGCCUUCGGGUUGUAAAGUACUUUCAGCAGGGAGGAAGGGAGUAAAGUUAAUACCUUU
RNAcentral lists this ribosomal RNA (473 nucleotides) under Escherichia coli. Its description in RNAcentral is "bacterial SSU rRNA". It matches the Rfam family "Bacterial small subunit ribosomal RNA", at positions 1 to 470 of the family's 1533-position model. The record is from RNAcentral. Lineage: Bacteria; Pseudomonadati; Pseudomonadota; Gammaproteobacteria; Enterobacterales; Enterobacteriaceae.